AUGAACGCUGGCGGCGUGCCUCAUACAUGCAAGUCGAGCGAACAGACGAGGAGCUUGCUCCUCUGACGUUAUCGGCGGACGGGUGAGUAACACGUGGAUAACCUACCUAUAAGACUGGGAUAACUUCGGGAAACCGGAGCUAAUACCGGAUAAUAUAUUGAACCGCAUGGUUCAAUAGUGAAAGACGGUUUUGCUGUCACUUAUAGAUGGAUCCGCGCCGCAUUAGCUAGUUGGUAAGGUAACGGCUUACCAAGGCAACGAUGCGUAGCCGACCUGAGAGGGUGAUCGGCCACACUGGAACUGAGACACGGUCCAGACUCCUACGGGAGGCAGCAGUAGGGAAUCUUCCGCAAUGGGCGAAAGCUUGACGGAGCAACGCCGCGUGAGUGAUGAAGGUCUUCGGAUCGUAAAACUCUGUUAUUAGGGAAGAACAAAUGUGUAAGUAACUAUGCACGUCUUGACGGUACCUAAUCAGAAAGCCACGGCUAACUACGUG
Molecule: ribosomal RNA, 496 nt
Filed under: uncultured bacterium
Lineage: Bacteria
Description: partial 16S ribosomal RNA
Rfam family: Bacterial small subunit ribosomal RNA
Source: RNAcentral